GGUUAAGUGACUAAGCGUACAUGGUGGAUGCCUUGGCAGUCAGAGGCGAUGAAGGACGUACUAACCUGCGAUAAGCUGUGAGAAGUCGGUAAGAGACGCUAUUACUCACAGAUUUCCGAAUGGGGAAACCCACCCGAGAUAACUCGGGUAUCUGUUACUGAAUACAUAGGUAACAGAGGCGAACCGGGAGAACUGAAACAUCUAAGUACCCCGAGGAAAAGAAAUCAACCGAGAUUCCCUCAGUAGCGGCGAGCGAACGGGGAUUAGCCCUUAAGCAUCUUGGAAGUUAGUGGAACGGUCCUGGAAAGGCCGGCGAUACAGGGUGAUAGCCCCGUACACGAAAACAACCUUGAUGUGAAAUCGAGUAGGGCGGGACACGUGACAUCCUGUCUGAAUAUGGGGGGACCAUCCUCCAAGGCUAAAUACUCCUGACUGACCGAUAGUGAACCAGUACCGUGAGGGAAAGGCGAAAAGAACCCCUGUGAGGGGAGUGAAAUAGAACCUGAAACCGUGUACGUACAAGCAGUGGGAGCCCUUCGGGGUGACUGCGUACCUUUUGUAUAAUGGGUCAGCGACUUACAUUUUGUAGCGAGGUUAACCGUAUAGGGGAGCCGUAGGGAAACCGAGUCUUAACUGGGCGUCUAGUUGCAAGGUGUAGACCCGAAACCGGGUGAUCUAGCCAUGGGCAGGUUGAAGGUUGAGUAACAUCAACUGGAGGACCGAACCCACUAACGUUGCAAAGUUAGGGGAUGACCUGUGGCUGGGGGUGAAAGGCCAAUCAAACUCGGAGAUAGCUGGUUCUCCCCGAAAGCUAUUUAGGUAGCGCCUCGGACGAAUACUACUGGGGGUAGAGCACUGUUUGGGCUAGGGGGUCAUCCCGACUUACCAACCCCAUGCAAACUCCGAAUACCAGUAAGUAAUAUCCGGGAGACACACGGCGGGUGCUAACGUCCGUCGUGAAGAGGGAAACAACCCAGACCGCCGGCUAAGGUCCCAAAGUUCUGGUUAAGUGGGAAACGAUGUGGGAAGGCUCAGACAGCUAGGAUGUUGGCUUAGAAGCAGCCAUCAUUUAAAGAAAGCGUAAUAGCUCACUAGUCGAGUCGGCCUGCGCGGAAGAUGUAACGGGGCUCAAACCAGGCACCGAAGCCGCGGAUUUGCACUUAGUGCAAGUGGUAGGGGAGCGUUCUGUAAGUCUGCGAAGGUGUAUCGAGAGGUAUGCUGGAGAUAUCAGAAGUGCGAAUGCUGACGUAAGUAACGAUAAAGGGGGUGAAAAGCCUCCUCGCCGGAAGACCAAGGGUUCCUGUCCAACGUUAAUCGGGGCAGGGUGAGUCGACCCCUAAGGUGAGGCCGAAAGGCGUAAUCGAUGGGAAGCAGGUUAAUAUUCCUGCACGACUUGUAAUUGCGAUGGGGGGACGGAGAAGGCUAGGUGGGCCAGGCGACGGUUGUCCUGGUGAAAGUGCGUAGGUGGUGUUUCUAGGCAAAUCCGGAGACACAACACUGAGACACGAGACGAACACACUACGGUGUGGAAGCCAUUGAUGCCCUGCUUCCAGGAAAAGCCUCUAAGCUUCAGAUUACAAGUCAUCGUACCCCAAACCGACACAGGUGGUCGGGUAGAGAAUACCAAGGCGCUUGAGAGAACUCGGGUGAAGGAACUAGGCAAAAUAGAACCGUAACUUCGGGAGAAGGUUCGCUCUUGAUGGUGAAGUCCCUUGCGGAUGGAGCUGUCGGGAGUCGCAGUGACCAGAUGGCUGGGACUGUUUAUCAAAAACACAGCACUCUGCAAACACGAAAGUGGACGUAUAGGGUGUGACACCUGCCCGGUGCCGGAAGGUUAAUUGAUGGGGUUAGCGCAAGCGAAGCUCUUGAUCGAAGCCCCGGUAAACGGCGGCCGUAACUAUAACGGUCCUAAGGUAGCGAAAUUCCUUGUCGGGUAAGUUCCGACCUGCACGAAUGGUGUAACCAUGGCCAUGCUGUCUCCACCCGAGACUCAGUGAAAUCGAAUUCGCCGUGAAGAUGCGGUGUACCCGCGGCUAGACGGAAAGACCCCGUGAACCUUUACUACAGCUUGGCACUGAACAUUGAACCUACAUGUGUAGGAUAGGUGGGAGGCUUUGAAGGCGUGACGCCAGUUGCGCUGGAGCCGUCCUUGAAAUACCACCCUUGUAUGUUUGAUGUUCUAACGCAGGGCCCUGAAUCGGGCUCGCGGACAGUGCCUGGUGGGUAGUUUGACUGGGGCGGUCUCCUCCCAAAGAGUAACGGAGGAGCACGAAGGUUGGCUAAUCCUGGUCGGACAUCAGGAGGUUAGUGCAAUGGCAUAAGCCAGCUUAACUGCGAGACGGACAGGUCGAGCAGGUACGAAAGUAGGUCAUAGUGAUCCGGUGGUUCUGAAUGGAAGGGCCAUCGCUCAACGGAUAAAAGGUACUCCGGGGAUAACAGGCUGAUACCGCCCAAGAGUUCAUAUCGACGGCGGUGUUUGGCACCUCGAUGUCGGCUCAUCACAUCCUGGGGCUGAAGUCGGUCCCAAGGGUAUGGCUGUUCGCCAUUUAAAGUGGUACGCGAGCUGGGUUCAGAACGUCGUGAGACAGUUCGGUCCCUAUCUGCCGUGGGCGUUGGAUGAUUGAAGGGAGUUGCUCCUAGUACGAGAGGACCGGAGUGAACGAACCUCUGGUGUUCGGGUUGUCACGCCAGUGGCACUGCCCGGUAGCUAAGUUCGGAAUCGAUAACCGCUGAAAGCAUCUAAGCGGGAAGCGAGCCCUGAGAUGAGUCAUCCCUGACCCCUUGAGGGUCCUAAAGGGCCGUUGGAGACCACAACGUUGAUAGGUGGGGUGUGUAAGCGCGGCGACGUGUUGAGCUAACCCAUACUAAUUACCCGUGAGGCUUAACCAU
RNAcentral lists this ribosomal RNA (2889 nucleotides) under Aeromonas veronii. Its description in RNAcentral is "23S ribosomal RNA". It matches the Rfam family "Bacterial large subunit ribosomal RNA". RNAcentral also lists the same sequence under 1 other name. Lineage: Bacteria; Pseudomonadati; Pseudomonadota; Gammaproteobacteria; Aeromonadales; Aeromonadaceae. The record is from RNAcentral.